AGGGGUAUAGCUCAAUUGGCAGAGCAGUUGAUUCCAAAUCAACAGGUUCGGGGUUCAAGUCCUCGUGCCCCUG
RNAcentral lists this transfer RNA (73 nucleotides) under Planctomycetota bacterium. RNAcentral's name for it is "Planctomycetes bacterium tRNA-Trp". It matches the Rfam family "tRNA". Rfam says of the family: Transfer RNA (tRNA) molecules are approximately 80 nucleotides in length. The record is from RNAcentral. Lineage: Bacteria; Pseudomonadati; Planctomycetota.